CGGACGGGUGAGUAACGCGUGAGAAUCUGCCCUUAGGACGGGGACAACAGCUGGAAACGGCUGCUAAUACCCGAUGUGCCGAGAGGUGAAACAUUUUAUGGCCUGAGGAUGAGCUCGCGUCUGAUUAGCUAGUUGGUGGGGUAAGGGCCUACCAAGGCGACGAUCAGUAGCUGGUCUGAGAGGAUGAUCAGCCACACUGGGACUGAGACACGGCCCAGACUCCUACGGGAGGCAGCAGUGGGGAAUUUUCCGCAAUGGGCGCAAGCCUGACGGAGCAAGACCGCGUGCGGGAGGACGGCCUAUUGGUUGUAAACCGCUUUUGAUAGGGAAGAAGUUCUGACGGUACCUAUCGAAUCAGCAUCGGCUAACUCCGUGCCAGCAGCCGCGGUAAUACGGAGGAUGCAAGCGUUAUCCGGAAUUAUUGGGCGUAAAGCGUCCGUAGGUGGUUGUUCAAGUCUGCUGUUAAAGCGUGCGGCUUAACCGCAUACCAGCAGUGGAAACUGGGCGACUAGAGUGCGGUAGGGGUCAGGGGAAUUCCCAGUGUAGCGGUGAAAUGCGUAGAUAUUGGGAAGAACACCAGUGGCGCAAGCGUUCUGCUGGGCUGUAACUGACACUGAGGCACGAAAGCUAGGGGAGCGAAAGGGAUUAGAUACCCCUGUAGUC
This 663-nucleotide ribosomal RNA is filed under the name uncultured cyanobacterium. RNAcentral describes it as "bacterial SSU rRNA". It matches the Rfam family "Bacterial small subunit ribosomal RNA", at positions 99 to 795 of the family's 1533-position model. The record is from RNAcentral. Lineage: Bacteria; Bacillati; Cyanobacteriota.